Long non-coding RNA from Amphimedon queenslandica, 382 nucleotides. RefSeq lists it as uncharacterized. The record is from RefSeq and is a predicted model, not a curated record. The transcript is spliced from 4 exons. Lineage: Eukaryota; Metazoa; Porifera; Demospongiae; Haplosclerida; Niphatidae.
AACUUGCACCCAGAUCCACCACUGCCUGUGUCUCUCCAUGGUGUGGGGAGAAAUGUGAACUACUGAACUGUGAUGAAACUGAUUGCAAUGGAAAUGGAGAUUGUACUAAUGGAUCUUGUAAGUGUAAAGCAGGAUGGUAUGGUAGUCUCUGUGAGAAAUCUUGUCCACAUAAUAGAUAUGGUCCUGGUUGUGAAUACUCUUGUUAUUGUAAUGAUAAUGGAGUAUGUAAUCAUGUAACUGGAUCAUGUAUAUGUAAUACAGGAUAUACUGGACCACACUGCAUGAAAUAACAUAGUAUAACACUGAGCUUUGUAACCUGCCAUUUUCAAUCACAAGAAAUAAUUUAUUAUUAAUGAUAAAAAAUAUACUAUAAUAAAAUAAU